Helianthus annuus (common sunflower) is the source of this 1851-nucleotide long non-coding RNA. RefSeq lists it as uncharacterized. Lineage: Eukaryota; Viridiplantae; Streptophyta; Magnoliopsida; Asterales; Asteraceae. The transcript has 2 exons. The record is from RefSeq and is a predicted model, not a curated record.
UGAUGAACAUUCCAUUAACAUGAUGAACAUUUCAGUAUCAUGAUGAACAUUCUAUUAACAUGAUGAACAUUCCAUUAGCAUGAUGAGACUAUCAUCUUAAUUACAUUAAGGAUGACGAAGUUCAUAUGAACUUACCUUGGUACUUACCCUUACCCAUAACUUCUUACAUGGUUCCCUAUAUACAACAUACCAAACUUCAUUUAUAAAUAAGAAGUGAUUACCUUAAGCGUCCGUUUCAUACUUGCUUCCUCGCAUCCUUCCCGUUAGCCUUCCACGCUUCCACCCACCUUGACAUGAUCUUAUACUUUCAUGUCAUUAUGGUUACCGCGUUAUUAGCAUACACGCACAUUCUAAAUUACAUUCAUUUCACAUUCAUAUUCUAUAUUGGCCUUUACUAGUCAAUCCCAACCACACAAUAAAUAAGAUAACAAUCACAUCUUUUCAUUCCACAUAAUUCUUUAUAUCGUCACAUAUAACAUUUAUUUAUAGAGCAUGUGGCUUGCGAUUUCCCUAACAUUACAUUUGUGGCCAAAUGCCUUACUAUGCUAUUUAUGCACAGUUGACUUUUAGAAAGUCAACUGUCCAUUAUAUGAAUUAUCAACAUAAGCUCAUACAUUCUCAACAUUAAUAGAUUAUACUACGGACAUCAUACACAUUUCAUCCUCAUAUAGCAAUACAUAUAUAACUACAUGAUUGUCUAGUUGUAUGCACACAAAACAUAAUCAAUUUCUUCCAUACUAGUAAUAUCAUGAUUUUACAAUUAACAACAUUGUCCAAGCUUAGUUAACACACAUAGCUUCCCAACCUCACUGCUUACUAAUAUACGCACUUUCUACACACUUAACACCAAAUCACAUUUGAUUUCAUCUAACCAUAAGUAAAUCAACACAUAAUGUGCAUCAUAUUACCCAAGCAUAGAGUACAACUUCUAGUGCAUACUUUUUACCAAAUCAUAUAAUUAACCAAAAUCCUACAUGUAUUCCAUUCAAAACAUAUUUCUCAUGUUUAAUUAUCACCUAAUUACAUCACAUCCACACAUUAUACACUUUCAUUCAUCAUUUGCAUACCAUUUCAUUUAUUAAUCUCACCUAGGCAUUUCAACAAACACUUGGUGUGCGUACUACUUUCUAAACACAUUUUACAAGCAUCUUAUGCUCAUCUUCCUACUUUUUGCCUUCAUCAAUCAAAUACAACUAAAAUCAACCAAAUUCUAUACCAUACUCAACCUAUCUAACAAGUAUUCAUCACAUACAAUAUACGACAUCAAAUUUUGAACAAGGAUUGGAAAUGGGUGUUAUACCCAUGUCGCCAUUUUCACUAACCCAAGUGGGUUUCACCUUCAAAUAUCAAAUUACUUGAUAUCAUACAUAAAACAAGUUCUAUUUGGCCAUUCUAACACAUAUACAUGCUCUAUUUCAACAAAUUUCAGGAUUGAAUCAUAAACCCACUUCAUACAAAUCAUCAAAUUAGAUUCUACAACAUACCAUGUGUUUGUUAGGACUUGAUGAAGCAAAUUCUUCAUCCAUGAAUGAGGUAUACCCUUGGACGCCGGACGACGAUCAAGCUCAAUGAAGAACCGAACACGAUCAAGAUACAAGCAUACCUUAGUUCAACAUUUUUGAUAGACCCUUUGAUUUUAAAGGUCUUGUGUUCACGAGCCAAAUCAAAAAAACAUACCACUCUGAGUAUUAGGCAGAUCCUAUAUAUUAUUAACAAAUAACAAGAAAAUUAACUUUUCAUCAAUAUAAAAUAAUAAACCCAGAAAUAUAUAAGAAUGCUUACCCCCACAGGAGCAAUCAUCGCUACAUCGAUUCUAAUUUUCGCAUCUUCAGGAUCUUUAUUCUUCUUGGA